Molecule: ribosomal RNA, 250 nt
Filed under: uncultured bacterium
Lineage: Bacteria
Description: partial 16S ribosomal RNA
Rfam family: Bacterial small subunit ribosomal RNA
Source: RNAcentral
UACGGAGGGUGCAAGCGUUGUUCGGAAUCACUGGGCGUAAAGCGUGUCUAGGUGGAUUCGUAAGUCAGUUGUGAAAGCCCUUGGCUCAACCAAGGAUGUGCAGCUGAAACUACGAGUCUUGAGAGAUGGAGAGAUGGGCGGAAUUCCGAGUGUAGCAGUGAAAUGCGUAGAUAUUCGGAGGAACAUCAGAGGCGAAGGCGGCUCAUUGGCCAUCAUCUGACACUAAAGCACGAAAGCAUGGGUAGCAAAC